Molecule: ribosomal RNA, 842 nt
Filed under: uncultured bacterium
Lineage: Bacteria
Description: bacterial SSU rRNA
Rfam family: Bacterial small subunit ribosomal RNA
Source: RNAcentral
UCAUGGCUCAGAGCGAACGCUGCGGGCAGGCCUAACACAUGCAAGUCGAACGGAUCCUUCGGGAUUAGUGGCGGACGGGUGAGUAACACGUGGGAACGUGCCCUUUGGUUCGGAACAACUCAGGGAAACUUGAGCUAAUACCGGAUGUGCCCUUCGGGGGAAAGAUUUAUCGCCAUUGGAGCGGCCCGCGUAGGAUUAGCUAGUUGGUGGGGUAAAGGCCCACCAAGGCGACGAUCCUUAGCUGGUCUGAGAGGAUGAUCAGCCACAUUGGGACUGAGACACGGCCCAAACUCCUACGGGAGGCAGCAGUGGGGAAUCUUGCGCAAUGGGCGAAAGCCUGACGCAGCCAUGCCGCGUGAAUGAUGAAGGUCUUAGGAUUGUAAAAUUCUUUCACCGGGGACGAUAAUGACGGUACCCGGAGAAGAAGCCCCGGCUAACUUCGUGCCAGCAGCCGCGGUAAUACGAAGGGGGCUAGCGUUGCUCGGAAUUACUGGGCGUAAAGGGAGCGUAGGCGGACUGUUUAGUCAGAGGUGAAAGCCCAGGGCUCAACCUUGGAAUAGCCUUUGAUACUGGCAGUCUUGAGUACGGAAGAGGUAUGUGGAACUCCGAGUGUAGAGGUGAAAUUCGUAGAUAUUCGGAAGAACACCAGUGGCGAAGGCGACAUACUGGUCCGUUACUGACGCUGAGGCUCGAAAGCGUGGGGAGCAAACAGGAUUAGAUACCCUGGUAGUCCACGCUGUAAACGAUGAGUGCUAGUUGUCGGCAGGCAUGCCUGUCGGUGACGCAGCUAACGCAUUAAGCACUCCGCCUGGGGAGUACGGUCGCAAGAUUAAAACUUAAAG